Molecule: ribosomal RNA, 612 nt
Filed under: uncultured bacterium
Lineage: Bacteria
Description: bacterial SSU rRNA
Rfam family: Bacterial small subunit ribosomal RNA (bases 1-517)
Source: RNAcentral
CCUACGGGAGGCAGCAGUGGGGAAUAUUGGACAAUGGGCGAAAGCCUGAUCCAGCAAUGCCGCGUGAGUGAUGAAGGCCUUAGGGUUGUAAAGCUCUUUUACCAGGGAUGAUAAUGACAGUACCUGGAGAAUAAGCUCCGGCUAACUUCGUGCCAGCAGCCGCGGUAAUACGAGGGGAGCUAGCGUUGUUCGGAAUUACUGGGCGUAAAGCGUGCGUAGGCGGUUACUCAAGUCAGAGGUGAAAGCCCGGGGCUCAACCCCGGAACGGCCUUUGAAACUAGGUAACUAGAAUCUUGGAGAGGUUAGUGGAAUUCCGAGUGUAGAGGUGAAAUUCGUAGAUAUUCGGAAGAACACCAGUGGCGAAGGCGACUAACUGGACAAGCAUUGACGCUGAGGCACGAAAGCGUGGGGAGCAAACAGGAUUAGAUACCCUGGUAGUCCACGCCGUAAACGAUGAUAACUAGCUGUCCGGGCACUUGGUGCUUGGGUGGCGCNGCUACGCAUUAAGUUAUCCGUCCGUCGGGUAGGUACGGUCGCGAGAAGUUAAAACGUUAAAAGGUAAAGUUAGUACGGCGUGUAAGUACGUGCGACGGACGACGACGAGGGAGGAGG